Galeopterus variegatus (Sunda flying lemur) is the source of this 1767-nucleotide long non-coding RNA. RefSeq lists it as uncharacterized. The transcript is spliced from 4 exons. NCBI's taxonomy places the organism in Eukaryota, Metazoa, Chordata, Mammalia, Dermoptera, Cynocephalidae. The record is from RefSeq and is a predicted model, not a curated record.
UCCCCUGCACAGUCGGUGCCUUCGGGGCUCCACCGCCGCGUGCUCCCACCGCAAGGGGCAGGGUUAGCAGCGUGUGCUAGAGUGGAAAAGCGAACUCACUUAUCUGCAGAAGAUGGGAGCACUGAGGCUUUGGAAUCGGGAGACCUUGGCAAGUGUGGAAUGAAUUUCUUUCUGCUGGAGAACACAUGGAGCCAAGUUGCCGCAACUCUGCAACGUGCGAGAAUCUGAGCGUCGGGGAGGAAAAAAAACGGCUUUAAAGUGAUGAAGGGGAAAGAGAAACUGUGAAAGGAGAGAAAGUCAGAUUUUCUUGAAGGCCCAGCCAGCUUCAGAGUCUGCCUUCAGUACCCGUCAGGACAAAGGAUGCUGCGCCCCCUGGUGUCAGAGCGGCAGCCGGUGCCAGCGAGCUGCCGCGGAGAAGCCGCGGGCGGGCGUGAGCCCGGGGGACCAGCGGGAGAAGUCGACGGGUUGGCAGGACACAGGAAAGAACUCCUCCAAUUCAUGCAAGAGAGAAAAUGAAACUCUCCUCCGGCCUCUAUCAGGGAAGCUAAUUUUUUCCUCCUCUUUCCUGAAAGUUUCCCAAAUCCCAUGACUCUGAUUUCCAGAUCAGAGAGUAAGGUUUUUAUUUUUAUUAUCCCUUACACUUUGCAAAUGGAGAGUCCCUAAAGGAACAUUGUGAUGGGCUAAUGUUGUGAGCCUGUUGUGAGCAAGGCCUGGACUUACAUGCUGCAGAAGGAAUUCAAUCACACCUGCUCAGUGAUCUGUAAGCCCCAAGUCAGCUCCUACUUUCUCCUGAUAGAUUGCACCCUCCUCCUCCCUGCCAAGAAAUAGAAGGGUCAGGGGUGGUGACCCGAUAUUUAAAAGGUUUGAAAUUCUAUACGUGGCAUUUCUGAGUUAAGUCCUAAAUGACAGUCCCUUAAUCAUGUGGAAAAUAAGAAACCUUGCUAAAAAUUUUAACUGAAUAGCCAUUGGUUUAAAAGAAAUGGAAACUUAUGUCCACACAAAAAUUUAUCUAUGAUUGUUCACAACAGCAUUUUUAUAGCAACCGAAGGGGAAUACAAUCAAAUGUCAGUCAGCUAAUGAAUGGAUAAACAUAAUGUGGUAUAUCCAUCUAAUGGAAUACUAUUUGACAAUAAAAAGAAAUGAAAUAUUGAUACAUGCUGCAACAUGGGUGAUCCUUAAAACACUAAGCUAAGUAAAAGCCAGUCACAAAGGAACAUUGUAUAAUUCCAUUUACAUGAAAUUUCUAGAAUUGGUAAAUCUAUAGUGACAGAAAAUAAACUAAUGGUUGGCUGUGGCUUGGGGAGAAGGUGAGGGAAUUGAAAAAUGGCAGCCAAGUGAUGCUAAGUUUCUUUGUAGGGUAAUGAAAAUAUUCUAAAAUUAAUUAUGGUGGUAGUUGCACAACUCAGUGAAUGUAUUAAGAACCGUUGAAUUUUGCCCUUAAACUGAGCGAAUGCGUGGUGUGUGAAUUCUCUCUCAAUAAAGCUGUUAAAAAUAUUUUGUAAAAUGUUAAUUUAGAAAAAAAGAUCACUGGUUUAUCUCUCUUUUUCUGAACCUGAUCACCUUGGGAUAAAUGUGUUCAGGCUUAAAAGCAGAUUUUAGGAGCUAACUAAAUGAGAAUGUGAAAAAUAGUGAUUUUUCCUUAGGUGGAGAGAGUCUGAUUGGCAGGUGCACGCAUACCCACAAUACUCAUACCUAUAACUCUUUUAAACUUUGCUGAAAUGUUUUUCCUUAGCCUAAAAUCAUUAAAACUACAUUUAAAUAAUGUCA